UACGAAGGGGGCUAGCGUUGCUCGGCAUCACUGGGCGUACAGCGCACGUAGGCGGGUCGUUAAGUCAGGGGUGAAAUCCUGGAGCUCAACUCCAGAACUGCCCUUGAUACUGGCGAUCUCGAGUUCGGGAGAGGUGAGUGGAACUGCGAGUGUAGAGGUGAAAUUCGUAGAUAUUAGGAAGAACACCAGUGGCGAAGGCGGCUCACUGGUCCGGUACUGACGCUGAGGUGCGAAAGCGUGGGGAGCAAACAGG
RNAcentral lists this ribosomal RNA (253 nucleotides) under uncultured bacterium. RNAcentral describes it as "partial 16S ribosomal RNA". It matches the Rfam family "Bacterial small subunit ribosomal RNA", at positions 524 to 776 of the family's 1533-position model. The record is from RNAcentral.